This is a long non-coding RNA of Felis catus (domestic cat), 1855 nucleotides long. RefSeq lists it as uncharacterized. The transcript is spliced from 5 exons. The record is from RefSeq and is a predicted model, not a curated record. Lineage: Eukaryota; Metazoa; Chordata; Mammalia; Carnivora; Felidae.
CUAAGGGCGUUUGUUGGGCCAAGCCCUUGUUUCGUCCCAGCCAGGCCACUCAGGCGAAAGCAUCCUGGGAAUUCGGCCUGCCAACACAAAGAGCAUUUCCUUGUGUGGGUUUCCUGUUUAGGUCUGCGUAGAAACCCGGCGGAUCGCGUGGCCUCGUAAAUCCCCCAGACAUUACUGAUGUAGAUGCUUUGGCCGGCUGCCAUGGGAAAAUCGCACACAAAUAGAAGAAGGGCGGGGGGAGCACAUUCACUCUCGAAUUCUGGUGGGUUCCGGGCUCCGUGUGUUUGGAUCUGUAAAUGGAGGGGGUUGGGCUCGCCACGAUGAUCAUUUAAGGUCCCUUCCAGCUUGGACUUUCUCAGAUUCCACUUCCCUCCGGAGGGCCGCCCGGAGCUCUCCCUGUCCGGCUCAGGGACGGGGGUCUGCGGAAACAGAAGCAGGGGGAAGAUCUCCGGCUGAAAAUCCGGAAGCUUCUCCAGCAUAUCCUAGGGGCUCCUUCACAGAAAGAAGUUUCUGCAUCUGUCCAAUGGGCAUUCAGACUCGUUGGCUUAAUGGAAGAAGCCGUGUUUGCAUUCCUCUUCUGAGGCCGAACCCCCAGAUGCUCUGGCAGAUUCCACGUGGAGUCUGAGCAGACAUGAGUACGGCUGGGAAAGGGACGGGGCAGGCACAGGAUUUCUGCCCGAAGGUUCUCCUGUCCACCGAGCUGUGUUCCAGUGAGGAUGUCCUGCUUUUCUCGUACUUCUAUGAGAUCGCUCGCUUAGAAUGCAGCGUGGCUCUGGUCUUCGGGCUCUCGGGCAUGAAUUGUGACGCUUGUCUGUAAACCUCGUUCCCUUGGACACGUCCUUACAGGAGCUGAUAAUGAAUGAAGGAAUCAGUGUUUCACGGGACACAUUUUGGGAAAUGCUCCGUUCAGCCAAAAGAGUGUCCGGACCCUUGCACAGUUUCCAUUGCUGAUGGGACCUUCUGAGCACUGUCAACAUACCCACAGAGAAGGGGUUUCCAACUCACGUGAUCACACUCUCCAGUCAGAUGUGGAACAAGAAAAUACUUCUCAGAAAUGCAAAGAAGAAAACAAACCAAGUUCAUUGCCUUGGGUAACAUGAGUUCUUGCCCAUUUGAAAGUGGGAUCUUAAUCUUCCUAGAAGAUCUCUUUCUAGAUUUCUUCUAGAAAGAGAGGACACGCCAUACCUUAGACGGUGUAGUUACGGGCAGGUGCUCUAUCACCUGGUACUGAGUCCCACUGCCAUCUACAAGAUUUAACAAUCAGUUGUAAGAACAUCUAACGUGAAGAAAUGUUUAAGAACUCAAGGGGUCUCUUGGGAUUGGAGGUCCAUCCAUUCCUGGAAAGGUUGAGAUAAGUCACAUGAUGCCUUUUCUGUAACCCCAACAUUUCUCCAAGGAAAUCUUUGAAGUAAAAAGUUCACAAAGGAGUAGACUGAGGACUGCAGCAGAGACAGUGGGGGGGGGGGGGAGGCGGGGGGAUGUUCCAUGGUUCCCUUCACUGUAGAGGCUGUUGGGAACAGGGGUUCAGUAAAGCAGACUGGAAUUUCCAGUAUCUGGUGCAUGGAUAAUGUUCUUUCACCUUUGGAUGUGUCCUUAGGUGACUGGACAGUGAGUAGAAGGUCUCAAAAAAGAGUCUGAUAUAGCAUCUGCCCUAGACCAGGAAGGAUGGGGCCAGGGCCCAGGAAACGGGUUUAGGCCCAGAGCGAACAUCUUUGUCCUCAGUUCUGUUAAAAGAUGGUGUCGGGGCGCCUGGGUGGCUCAGUCAGUUGGGCAUCUGACUUUGGUUCAGGUCAUGAUCUUGCAGUUUGUGAGUUUUGGCCCUGUGUUGGGCUCUGUGCUGACAGAUCAGAGCCUG